AGCGGCGGACGGGUGAGUAACGCGUGGGAAUGUACCCUUCUCUAAGGAAUAGCCACUGGAAACGGUGAGUAAUACCUUAUACGCCCUUCGGGGGAAAGAUUUAUCGGAGAAGGAUCAGCCCGCGUUGGAUUAGAUAGUUGGUGGGGUAAUGGCCUACCAAGUCUACGAUCCAUAGCUGGUUUGAGAGGAUGAUCAGCCACACUGGGACUGAGACACGGCCCAGACUCCUACGGGAGGCAGCAGUGGGGAAUCUUAGACAAUGGGGGAAACCCUGAUCUAGCCAUGCCGCGUGAGUGAUGAAGGCCUUAGGGUCGUAAAGCUCUUUCGCCAGGGAUGAUAAUGACAGUACCUGGUAAAGAAACCCCGGCUAACUCCGUGCCAGCAGCCGCGGUAAUACGGAGGGGGUUAGCGUUGUUCGGAAUUACUGGGCGUAAAGCGCACGUAGGCGGACUAGUCAGUCAGAGGUGAAAUCCCAGGGCUCAACCCCGGAACUGCCUUUGAUACUGCUAGUCUUGAGUUCGAGAGAGGUGAGAGGAAUUCCGAGUGUAGAGGUGAAAUUCGUAGAUAUUCGGAGGAACACCAGUGGCGAAGGCGGCUCACUGGCUCGAUACUGACGCUGAGGUGCGAAAGUGUGGGGAGCAAACAGGAUUAGAUACCCUGGUAGUCCACACCGUAAACGAUGAAUGCCAGUCGUCGGGCA
Molecule: ribosomal RNA, 700 nt
Filed under: uncultured Alphaproteobacteria bacterium
Lineage: Bacteria; Pseudomonadati; Pseudomonadota; Alphaproteobacteria
Description: bacterial SSU rRNA
Rfam family: Bacterial small subunit ribosomal RNA
Source: RNAcentral